UCAUAUGGUAUACUUGAUUUGCAGUUACAGAAGGGGCACUAAGGCCUAAGAAAAAAUAAAAACAGAAGAGACUAAUGAACAACAAUAUUCCCAGUUCUCCUAACUCUAGUAACGUUACGCCCCAAUCUCGGUGUCGGUGGGUUUUAUGCAUCAGACGCCGAUUCUGAGGUGUGAGUGUUACAAUGCAGAAAAUAAAUAAAAGCACUAUCUUCUAGGCUCUUUUUUCUAGGCUCGUCGUAUACCUUUUUUCGGUUCGGUUACAUCUAAGUACUUCUCUGCAAAAAAUACAAGAGAUGGGUGGGUGAGCAAAACCAUGUGUUCAGUGAGUAGACCAAUGUAAUAUGCCCGUAAACCUAUGUCAUUUUACCCACGCUAUAAAAUAAUAUAUCGAAUACACAUCAAGUGACGCAAUUCAUCACAUCGCAUCAUCCCUUCUUAUUGGAUACCCUUCAAUUUAAUUAGUGUACCCCACGGGAACCUAAUGACCAUCAUGUCUUAUACCACAUCCUUACUUCGGCAUAACCAAUCAAGAAGUUGACAUGUUUCACGACUAAUCAAACAAUGGAUCCAAUGUAUAAAUCUAUAUAAUCUCCGUAUAUUUCGCAAAUGGACAUGUUUCACUCGAAAAUAGUGAGAUAUUUCGUAAAUAGAUCAAAAUCAUGUUUUUCUACUAUUUUGAUAGCAAAUAAGAAUAUUUGAAACAUAUUAUAUAAAUCCAUUCACCUUGACAAUUCGAAUCCCAACCACAAAUACCGAUCGUAAACCAGGCCACCUAAAACGAGCCAUCUAAGAAUCACCGUUAGAUCUAAACCAAACCUCAAAGGAUAUAAAGAAGACAUCGAUACAAACCCGUAGCUCUUUGUGGAUUCAAAAUCGGAGUUAUGGAUCAAAAAUUAUGAAUUGCUCAAGUUUCUAA
Molecule: long non-coding RNA, 916 nt
Filed under: Fragaria vesca (wild strawberry)
Lineage: Eukaryota; Viridiplantae; Streptophyta; Magnoliopsida; Rosales; Rosaceae
Description: long non-coding RNA (FVES_LNC003695)
Source: RNAcentral